Molecule: ribosomal RNA, 253 nt
Filed under: uncultured bacterium
Lineage: Bacteria
Description: partial 16S ribosomal RNA
Rfam family: Bacterial small subunit ribosomal RNA
Source: RNAcentral
UACGGAGGUGGCAAGCGUUGCUCGGAAUCACUGGGCGUAAAGGGCGCGUAGGCGGGGAGGUAAGUCGGGUGUGAAAUCCCUCGGCCCAACCGAGGAACUGCGCCCGAGACUGCUUCUCUUGAGUCCCGGAGAGGAAGAUGGAAUUCCCGGUGUAGCGGUGAAAUGCGCAGAUAUCGGGAGGAACACCAAUGGCGAAGGCAGCUCGCUGGGACGGUACUGACGCUGAGACGCGAAAGCGUGGGGAGCAAACAGG